GAAAAGUAAGGUUGGUGAAUCAACGUAUCCAAAUCCAAAUGAGUUUACUGCAGUUGAUUUAGACAACAAAAUGGAGCAAAUUGGGGAUGAUAAUAAUGAUGCUGAAGUUCAAGAGUUAUUCCAACACACUCAAGAAAGUCAAAAUCAACAAGCUGAGAAAGACGAGGUCAAAAAAAGCACUCACGUUUGAUAUUUUCAAAGUCCACUUUACAA
RNAcentral lists this unclassified non-coding RNA (213 nucleotides) under Hevea brasiliensis (rubber tree). Lineage: Eukaryota; Viridiplantae; Streptophyta; Magnoliopsida; Malpighiales; Euphorbiaceae. The record is from RNAcentral.